UACAGAGGGGGCAAGCGUUGUUCGGAAUUACUGGGCGUAAAGGGCGCGUAGGCGGCCUUCUAAGUCGAACGUGAAAUCCCCGGGCUUAACCCGGGAACUGCGUCCGAUACUGGAAGGCUUGAAUCCGGGAGAGGGAUGCGGAAUUCCAGGUGUAGCGGUGAAAUGCGUAGAUAUCUGGAGGAACACCGGUGGCGAAGGCGGCAGCCUGGACCGGUAUUGACGCUGAGGCGCGAAAGCCAGGGGAGCAAACGGG
RNAcentral lists this ribosomal RNA (253 nucleotides) under uncultured bacterium. RNAcentral describes it as "partial 16S ribosomal RNA". It matches the Rfam family "Bacterial small subunit ribosomal RNA", at positions 524 to 776 of the family's 1533-position model. The record is from RNAcentral.